Molecule: ribosomal RNA, 406 nt
Filed under: uncultured Bacillota bacterium
Lineage: Bacteria; Bacillati; Bacillota
Description: bacterial SSU rRNA
Rfam family: Bacterial small subunit ribosomal RNA
Source: RNAcentral
UGGGGAAUUUUCCGCAAUGGGCGAAAGCCUGACGGAGCAACGCCGCGUGGAUGAAGAAGUCCUUCGGGAUGUAAAGUCCUUUCAGCAGGGACGAGUCGAAGACGGUACCUGCAGAAGAAGCAUCGGCUAACUACGUGCCAGCAGCCGCGGUAAUACGUAGGAUGCGAGCGUUGUCCGGAAUUAUUGGGCGUAAAGCGUACGUAGGCGGUUUGUUAAGUCAGGGGUUAAAGACUGAGGCUCAACCUCAGGAGUGCCCUUGAUACUGGCAGACUGGAGGACGGCAGAGGAAAGUGGAAUUCCCAGUGUAGCGGUGAAAUGCGUAGAUAUUGGGAGGAACACCAGUGGCGAAAGCGACUUUCUGGGCCGUUCCUGACGCUGAGGUACGAAAGCGUGGGGAGCAAACAGG